UGAGUAACCUGCCCUUCACUCUGGGAUAACUCCGGGAAACCGGGGCUAAUACUGGAUAUGACUCGAACAGGCAUCUGUUUCGGGUGGAAAGAUUUUAUUGGUGGAGGAUGGACUCGCGACCUAUCAGCUUGUUGGUGAGGUAAUGGCUCACCAAGGCGACGGACGGGUAGCCGGCCUGAGAGGGCGAUCGGCCACACUGGGACUGAGACACGGCCCAGACCUCCGUACGGGAGCA
Molecule: ribosomal RNA, 235 nt
Filed under: uncultured bacterium
Lineage: Bacteria
Description: partial 16S ribosomal RNA
Rfam family: Bacterial small subunit ribosomal RNA
Source: RNAcentral